CCUACGGGAGGCAGCAGUAGGGAAUCUUCCACAAUGGGCGAAAGCCUGAUGGAGCAACGCCGCGUGGGUGAAGAAGGUCUUCGGAUCGUAAAACCCUGUUGUUAGAGAAGAAAGUGCGUGAGAGUAACUGUUCACGUUUCGACGGUAUCUAACCAGAAAGCCACGGCUAACUACGUGCCAGCAGCCGCGGUAAUACGGAGGUGGCAAGCGUUAUCCGGACUUUUUGGGCGUAAGGGGAACGCAGGCGGUCUGUUAAGUCUGAUGUGACAGCCUUCGGCUUAAGCGGAGUAGUGCAUUGGAAACGGGGAGACGUGAGUGCAGAAGAGGAGAGUGGAACUCCAUGUGGAGCGGUGAAAGGCGUAGAUAUAUGGAAGAACAGCAGUGGCGAAAGCGGCUCUCUGGUCUGUAACUGACGCUGAGGUUCGAAAGCGUGGGUAGCAAACAGGAUUAGAUACCCGGGUAGUC
Molecule: ribosomal RNA, 465 nt
Filed under: uncultured bacterium
Lineage: Bacteria
Description: partial 16S ribosomal RNA
Rfam family: Bacterial small subunit ribosomal RNA
Source: RNAcentral